GACGAACGCUGGCGGCGUGCUUAACACAUGCAAGUCGAACGGUAAGGCCCUUCGGGGUACACGAGUGGCGAACGGGUGAGUAACACGUGGGUGAUCUGCCCUGCACUUCGGGAUAAGCCUGGGAAACUGGGUCUAAUACCGGAUAGGACCAUGGACUUCACGGUUUGUGGUGGAAAGCUUUUGCGGUGUGGGAUGGGCCCGCGGCCUAUCAGCUUGUUGGUGGGGUAAUGGCCUACCAAGGCGACGACGGGUAGCCGGCCUGAGAGGGUGUCCGGCCACACUGGGACUGAGAUACGGCCCAGACUCCUACGGGAGGCAGCAGUGGGGAAUAUUGCACAAUGGGCGCAAGCCUGAUGCAGCGACGCCGCGUGAGGGAUGACGGCCUCGGGUUGUAAACCUCGUUUCAAUAGGGACGAAGCGCAAGUGACGGUACC
Molecule: ribosomal RNA, 434 nt
Filed under: uncultured bacterium
Lineage: Bacteria
Description: bacterial SSU rRNA
Rfam family: Bacterial small subunit ribosomal RNA
Source: RNAcentral